CAGCAGCCACGGGAAUACGGAGGGUGCAAGCGUUAUCCGGAUUUAUUGGGUUUAAAGGGUCCGUAGGCGGACUUAUAAGUCAGUGGUGAAAGCCUGUCGCUUAACGAUAGAACUGCCAUUGAUACUGUAAGUCUUGAGUAUAUUUGAGGUAGCUGGAAUAAGUAGUGUAGCGGUGAAAUGCAUAGAUAUUACUUAGAACACCAAUUGCGAAGGCAGGUUACCAAGAUAUAACUGACGCUGAGGGACGAAAGCGUGGGUAGCGAACAGGAUUAGAGACCCCUGUAGUCCCUGUCUCUUAUAA
This 301-nucleotide ribosomal RNA is filed under the name uncultured bacterium. RNAcentral's name for it is "partial 16S ribosomal RNA". It matches the Rfam family "Bacterial small subunit ribosomal RNA", at positions 509 to 809 of the family's 1533-position model. The record is from RNAcentral.